Molecule: ribosomal RNA, 423 nt
Filed under: uncultured bacterium
Lineage: Bacteria
Description: bacterial SSU rRNA
Rfam family: Bacterial small subunit ribosomal RNA
Source: RNAcentral
GGAAUAUUGGACAAUGGGGGCAACCCUGAUCCAGCGACGCCGCGUGGGUGAAGAAGGCCUGCGGGUUGUAAAGCCCUUUCGGUGGGGAAGAGAAGCCUCGACCUAAUACGUCGGGGUCUUGACGUAACCCACAAAAGCAGCACCGGCCAACUCUGGCCCAGCAGCCGCGGUAAUACAGAGGGUGCGAGCGUUAAUCGGAAUUACUGGGCGUAAAGCGCACGUAGGCGGCUCUGCAAGUCGGGUGUGAAAUCCCCGGGCUCAACCUGGGAACUGCAUUCGAUACUGCAUUGCUAGAGUAUGGGAGAGGGAAGUGGAAUUUCCGGUGUAGCGGUGAAAUGCGUAGAUAUCGGAAGGAACACUCGAGGCGAAGGCGGCUUCCUGGACAGACACUGACGCUGAGGCGCGAAAGCUGGGGGAGCAAAC